This 451-nucleotide ribosomal RNA is filed under the name uncultured bacterium. RNAcentral's name for it is "partial 16S ribosomal RNA". It matches the Rfam family "Bacterial small subunit ribosomal RNA", at positions 354 to 796 of the family's 1533-position model. The record is from RNAcentral.
GUGGGGAAUAUUGGACAAUGGGGGGAACCCUGAUCCAGCCAUGCCGCGUGUGUGAAGAAGGCCUUUUGGUUGUAAAGCACUUUAAGCGAGGAGGAGGCUACCGAGAUUAAUACUCUUGGAUAGUGGACGUUACUCGCAGAAUAAGCACCGGCUAACUCUGUGCCAGCAGCCGCGGUAAUACAGAGGGUGCAAGCGUUAAUCGGAUUUACUGGGCGUAAAGCGCGCGCAGGUGGCAAUUUAAGUCAAAUGUGAAAUCCCCGAGCUUAACUUGGGAAUUGCAUUCGAUACUGGUUGGCUAGAGUAUGGGAGAGGAUUGUAGAAUUCCAGGUGUAGCGGUGAAAUGCGUAGAGAUCUGGAGGAAUACCGAUGGCGAAGGCAGCCAUCUGGCCUAAUACUGACACUGAGGUGCGAAAGCAUGGGGAGCAAACAGGAUUAGAAACCCUUGUAGUCC